GGUUAAGCGACUAAGCGUACACGGUGGAUGCCCUGGCAGUCAGAGGCGAUGAAGGGCGUGCUAAUCUGCGAUAAGCGCCGGUAAGGUGAUAUGAACCGUUAUAACCGGCGAUACCCGAAUGGGGAAACCCAGUGUGAUUCGUCACACUAUCAUUAACUGAAUCCAUAGGUUAAUGAGGCGAACCGGGGGAACUGAAACAUCUAAGUACCCCGAGGAAAAGAAAUCAACCGAGAUUCCCCCAGUAGCGGCGAGCGAACGGGGAGGAGCCCAGAGCCUGAAUCAGCAUGUGUGUUAGUGGAAGCGUCUGGAAAGGCGCGCGAUACAGGGUGACAGCCCCGUACACAAAAGCGCAUGUGCUGUGAGCUCGAUGAGUAGGGCGGGACACGUGGUAUCCUGUCUGAAUAUGGGGGGACCAUCCUCCAAGGCUAAAUACUCCUGACUGACCGAUAGUGAACCAGUACCGUGAGGGAAAGGCGAAAAGAACCCCGGCGAGGGGAGUGAAAAAGAACCUGAAACCGUGUACGUACAAGCAGUGGGAGCACCCUUUGGGUGUGACUGCGUACCUUUUGUAUAAUGGGUCAGCGACUUAUAUUCUGUAGCAAGGUUAACCGAAUAGGGGAGCCGGAGGGAAACCGAGUCUUAACCGGGCGUUAAGUUGCAGGGUAUAGACCCGAAACCCGGUGAUCUAGCCAUGGGCAGGUUGAAGGUUGGGUAACACUAACUGGAGGACCGAACCGACUAAUGUUGAAAAAUUAGCGGAUGACCUGUGGCUGGGGGUGAAAGGCCAAUCAAACCGGGAGAUAGCUGGUUCUCCCCGAAAGCUAUUUAGGUAGCGCCUCGUGAAUUCAUCUCCGGGGGUAGAGCACUGUUUCGGCUAGGGGGCCAUCCCGGCUUACCAACCCGAUGCAAACUGCGAAUACCGGAGAAUGUUAUCACGGGAGACACACGGCGGGUGCUAACGUCCGUCGUGAAGAGGGAAACAACCCAGACCGCCAGCUAAGGUCCCAAAGUCAUGGUUAAGUGGGAAACGAUGUGGGAAGGCCCAGACAGCCAGGAUGUUGGCUUAGAAGCAGCCAUCAUUUAAAGAAAGCGUAAUAGCUCACUGGUCGAGUCGGCCUGCGCGGAAGAUGUAACGGGGCUAAACCAUGCACCGAAGCUGCGGCAGCGACACUGUGUGUUGUUGGGUAGGGGAGCGUUCUGUAAGCCUGUGAAGGUGUGUCGUGAGGCAUGCUGGAGGUAUCAGAAGUGCGAAUGCUGACAUAAGUAACGAUAAAGCGGGUGAAAAGCCCGCUCGCCGGAAGACCAAGGGUUCCUGUCCAACGUUAAUCGGGGCAGGGUGAGUCGACCCCUAAGGCGAGGCCGAAAGGCGUAGUCGAUGGGAAACGGGUUAAUAUUCCCGUACUUGGUGUUACUGCGAAGGGGGGACGGAGAAGGCUAUGUUGGCCGGGCGACGGUUGUCCCGGUUUAAGCGUGUAGGUGUGUGUUCCAGGUAAAUCCGGUUCACUUUAACACUGAGGCGUGACGACGAGGCACUACGGUGCUGAAGCAACAAAUGCCCUGCUUCCAGGAAAAGCCUCUAAGCAUCAGGUAACAUCAAAUCGUACCCCAAACCGACACAGGUGGUCAGGUAGAGAAUACCAAGGCGCUUGAGAGAACUCGGGUGAAGGAACUAGGCAAAAUGGUGCCGUAACUUCGGGAGAAGGCACGCUGACACGUAGGUGAAGUGAUUUACUCAUGGAGCUGAAGUCAGUCGAAGAUACCAGCUGGCUGCAACUGUUUAUUAAAAACACAGCACUGUGCAAACACGAAAGUGGACGUAUACGGUGUGACGCCUGCCCGGUGCCGGAAGGUUAAUUGAUGGGGUCAGCGCAAGCGAAGCUCCUGAUCGAAGCCCCGGUAAACGGCGGCCGUAACUAUAACGGUCCUAAGGUAGCGAAAUUCCUUGUCGGGUAAGUUCCGACCUGCACGAAUGGCGUAAUGAUGGCCAGGCUGUCUCCACCCGAGACUCAGUGAAAUUGAACUCGCUGUGAAGAUGCAGUGUACCCGCGGCAAGACGGAAAGACCCCGUGAACCUUUACUAUAGCUUGACACUGAACAUUGAGCCUUGAUGUGUAGGAUAGGUGGGAGGCUUUGAAGUGUGGACGCCAGUCUGCAUGGAGCCGACCUUGAAAUACCACCCUUUAAUGUUUGAUGUUCUAACGUGGACCCGUUACCCGGGUUGCGGACAGUGUCUGGUGGGUAGUUUGACUGGGGCGGUCUCCUCCUAAAGAGUAACGGAGGAGCACGAAGGUUGGCUAAUCCUGGUCGGACAUCAGGAGGUUAGUGCAAUGGCAUAAGCCAGCUUGACUGCGAGCGUGACGGCGCGAGCAGGUGCGAAAGCAGGUCAUAGUGAUCCGGUGGUUCUGAAUGGAAGGGCCAUCGCUCAACGGAUAAAAGGUACUCCGGGGAUAACAGGCUGAUACCGCCCAAGAGUUCAUAUCGACGGCGGUGUUUGGCACCUCGAUGUCGGCUCAUCACAUCCUGGGGCUGAAGUAGGUCCCAAGGGUAUGGCUGUUCGCCAUUUAAAGUGGUACGCGAGCUGGGUUUAGAACGUCGUGAGACAGUUCGGUCCCUAUCUGCCGUGGGCGCUGGAGAACUGAGGGGGGCUGCUCCUAGUACGAGAGGACCGGAGUGGACGCAUCACUGGUGUUCGGGUUGUCAUGCCAAUGGCACUGCCCGGUAGCUAAAUGCGGAAGAGAUAAGUGCUGAAAGCAUCUAAGCACGAAACUUGCCCCGAGAUGAGUUCUCCCUGAGACUUAGAGUCUCCUGAAGGAACGUUGAAGACGACGACG
RNAcentral lists this ribosomal RNA (2831 nucleotides) under Salmonella enterica subsp. enterica serovar Enteritidis. Its description in RNAcentral is "partial 23S ribosomal RNA". It matches the Rfam family "Bacterial large subunit ribosomal RNA". The record is from RNAcentral. Lineage: Bacteria; Pseudomonadati; Pseudomonadota; Gammaproteobacteria; Enterobacterales; Enterobacteriaceae.